Molecule: ribosomal RNA, 139 nt
Filed under: uncultured Peritrichia
Lineage: Eukaryota; Ciliophora; Oligohymenophorea
Description: partial 18S ribosomal RNA
Rfam family: Eukaryotic small subunit ribosomal RNA
Source: RNAcentral
AAUGUACACACCGCCCGUCGCUAUUACCGAUUGAGUGUAAAGGUGAACCUUCUCGAUGGCGCAAGCCAGAAAUUAAGUAAACCUUUACACUUAGAGGAAAUAACAGUCGUAACAAGGUUUCCGUAGGUGAACCUGCGGA